AGGAUGAACGCUGGCGGUCUGCUUAACACAUGCAAGUCGAACGGAGUAGCAAUACUUAGUGGCGGACGGGUGAGUAACGCGUGAGAAUCUACCUUCAGGACGGAGACAACAGUUGGAAACGACUGCUAACCCCCGAUGUACCGAAAGGGCAAAUAUUUAUAGCCUGAAGAAGAGCUCGCGUCCGAUUAGCUAGUUGGAGAGGUAAAAGCUCACCAAGGCGACGAUCGGUAGCUGGUCUGAGAGGACGAUCAGCCACACUGGGACUGAGACAUGGCCCAGACUCCUACGGGAGGCAGCAGUGGGGAAUUUUCCGCAAUGGGCGAAAGCCUGACGGAGCAAGACCGCGUGGGGGAAGAAGGCUCUUGGGUUGUAAACCCCUUUUCUCUGGGAAGAACGGCAAUGACGGUACCAGAGGAAUCAGCAUCGGCUAACUCCGUGCCAGCAGCCGC
RNAcentral lists this ribosomal RNA (449 nucleotides) under uncultured bacterium. RNAcentral's name for it is "SSU rRNA". It matches the Rfam family "Bacterial small subunit ribosomal RNA", at positions 26 to 518 of the family's 1533-position model. The record is from RNAcentral.